RNAcentral lists this ribosomal RNA (583 nucleotides) under uncultured bacterium. RNAcentral describes it as "partial 16S ribosomal RNA". It matches the Rfam family "Bacterial small subunit ribosomal RNA", at positions 356 to 1375 of the family's 1533-position model. The record is from RNAcentral.
UGGGAAUUUUGGACAAUGGGCGAAAGCCUGAUCCAGCAAUGCCGCGUGUGUGAAGAAGGCCUUCGGGUUGUAAAGCACUUUUGUCCGGAAAGAAAUCCUUGGCUCUAAUACAGUCGGGGGAUGACGGUACCGGAAGAAUAAGCACCGGCUAACUACGUGCCAGCAGCCGCGGUAAUACGUAGGGUGCAAGCGUUAAUCGGAAUUACUGGGCGUAAAGCGUGCGCAGGCGGUUUGCUAAGACCGAUGUGAAAUCCCCGGGCUCAACCUGGGAACUGCAUUGGUGACUGGCAGGCUAGAGUAUGGCAGAGGGGGGUAGAAUUCCACGUGUAGCAGUGAAAUGCGUAGAGAUGUGGAGGAAUACCGAUGGCGAAGGCAGCCCCCUGGGCCAAUACUGACGCUCAUGCGCGAAAGCGUGGGGGGCAAACAGGAUUAGAUACCCUGGUAGUCCACGCCCUAAACGAUGUCAACUAGUUGUUGGGGAUUCAUUCCUUAGUAACGUAGCUAACGCGUGAAGUUGACCGCCUGGGGAGUACGGUCGCAAGAUUAAAACUCAAAUGAAUUGACGGGGUCAUAGCUGUUUCCU